Molecule: ribosomal RNA, 1248 nt
Filed under: metagenome
Description: bacterial LSU rRNA
Rfam family: Bacterial large subunit ribosomal RNA
Source: RNAcentral
UAUACGACCGUACCGCAAACCGACACUGGUGCGCGAGAUGAGUAUUCUAAGGCGCUUGAGAGAACUCAGGAGAAGGAACUCGGCAAAUUGACACCGUAACUUCGGAAGAAGGUGUGCCCUAUUAGUGUGUAGUGAACAACGAAGCAUGAAUGGGUUGCAAAAAAUCGGUGGCUGCGACUGUUUAUUAAAAACACAGCACUCUGCAAACACGAAAGUGGACGUAUAGGGUGUGACGCCUGCCCGGUGCUGGAAGAUUAAAUGAUGGGGUGCAAGCUCUUGAUUGAAGUCCCAGUAAACGGCGGCCGUAACGAUAACGGUCCUAAGGUAGCGAAAUUCCUUGUCGGGUAAGUUCCGACCUGCACGAAUGGCGUAACGAUGGCCACACUGUCUCCUCCUGAGACUCAGCGAAGUUGAAAUGUUUGUGAUGAUGCAAUCUCCCCGCGGAAAGACGGAAAGACCCCAUGAACCUUUACUGUAGCUUUGUAUUGGACUUUGAACAGAUCUGUGUAGGAUAGGUGGGAGGCUUUGAAGCAGGGUCGCUAGAUCUUGUGGAGCCAACGUUGAAAUACCACCCUGGUGUGUUUGAGGUUCUAACCUAGGUCCAUUAUCUGGAUCGGGGACAGUGCAUGGUAGGCAGUUUGACUGGGGCGGUCUCCUCCCAAAGCGUAAUGGAGGAGUUCGAAGGUACGCUAGUUACGGUCGGACAUCGUGACGAUAGUGCAAUGGCAUAAGCGUGCUUAACUGCGAGACUGACAAGUCGAGCAGAUGCGAAAGCAGGACAUAGUGAUCCGGUGGUUCUGUAUGGAAGGGCCAUCGCUCAACGGAUAAAAGGUACUCUGGGAUAACAGGCUGAUACCGCCCAAGAGUUCAUAUCGACGGCGGUGUUUGGCACCUCGAUGUCGGCUCAUCUCAUCCUGGGGCUGUAGCCGGUCCCAAGGGUAUGGCUGUUCGCCAUUUAAAGAGGUACGUGAGCUGGGUUUAAAACGUCGUGAGACAGUUUGGUCCCUAUCUUCCGUGGGCGCUGCAGAUUUGAGGAAGCCUGCUCCUAGUACGAGAGGACCGGAGUGGACACACCUCUGGUGUAUCGGUUGUCACGCCAGUCGCAUUGCCGAGUAGCUAAGUGUGGAAGAGAUAACCGCUGAAAGCAUCUAAGCGGGAAACUCGUUUCAAGAUGAGAUCUGCCGGGGCCUUGAGCCCCCUAAAGAGUCGUUCAAGACCAGGACGUUGAUAGGUCAGGUGUGGAAGCCA